This 383-nucleotide ribosomal RNA is filed under the name uncultured bacterium. Its description in RNAcentral is "bacterial SSU rRNA". It matches the Rfam family "Bacterial small subunit ribosomal RNA", at positions 28 to 412 of the family's 1533-position model. The record is from RNAcentral.
GACGAACGCUGGCGGCGUGCUUAACACAUGCAAGUCGAGCGGAAAGGCCCUUCGGGUACGUCGAGCGGCGAACGGGUGAGUAACACGUGGGCAACCUGCCCUCAGCUCUGGGACAACUCCGGGGAAACCGGGCGUAAUACCGGAUACGACCGCUGCCGGCAUCGGUGGUGGUGGAAAGUUCUUCGCUGAGGAUGGGCCCGCGGCCUAUCAGCUUGUUGGUGGGGUGAUGGCCUACCAAGGCGACGACGGGUAGCCGGCCUGAGAGGGCGACCGGCCACCACUGGACUGAGACACGGCCCAGACUCCUACGGGAGGCGAGCAGGUGGGGAAUAGUUGCGCAAUGGGGCGGAAGCCUGACGCAGCGACGCCGCGUGAGGGAUGAA